Molecule: long non-coding RNA, 11120 nt
Filed under: Sarcophilus harrisii (Tasmanian devil)
Lineage: Eukaryota; Metazoa; Chordata; Mammalia; Dasyuromorphia; Dasyuridae
Description: lncRNA (ENSSHAG00000030249.1)
Source: RNAcentral
CAUUACUCUUCUAUGUAAUUUCUUCACUUCCUUGUACUUUGGCAAAGGUAGAGAUGAAAUGAAAGGAACACAGAACUGAGGUCAGGAAAUCUUGAAUUUAUCAAUAGUUCGCUGUGUGACCUUGGACAAUAUUAACUCAUUUAUAUAGCAAUUGUAAAGAGCAUUUAUUAUUUCACAACACCUCCUAAGUAUUAUUUUCCUCAUUUUGGAGGCGGAGAAACUGAGACCCUUAAGGGAUCUUUUGGCCCAACUAACUUCACACAACUGAAUAAAACUAAAGAAAAGGCGCUCAUUCAGACUGUGAAUCCCGCAUGCCAGACGACUCUCUCAGCCAGUCCGCUCUCUGGCCUCUCCAGGUGGGAGAAACAGAAAGGGAGGAUUGGGAGGGUUUGGGACUAGUUGAUAUCUAAAGCCCUUCCAGCUCGGGAUGGGGCGGGGUGGAAAGCCGGGCCAGCUCUAAGGUGGGGAGGUAGCGAGGGGCCGGACGUGGGAGAGGCGGGCCGGGGCGGGGCUGGAGCCUCUGGCUCUCCCGGUUCGGCCAGCCCGACCCUCUCCUUCCCAGCUCCUCACGAUGGCGGCUCGGGGGCUGCGGAGGAGGCCGCGCCUCUGGCAGUUUCUGUUGCCCGCGGUGCUGGCCUUGAACUUGGCCGCCGUCCAGGCCCAGCAGACGCCGCGCACCCCGGAGCGCGGGCCCCCGGUGCGGCUCUUUACGGAGGAGGAGCUGGCCCGCUACGGCGGGGAGGAGGAAGACCAGCCCAUUUACCUGGCAGUGAAAGGGGUAGUAUUUGAUGUCACUUCUGGAAAGGAGUUCUAUGGGAGGGGAGCACCAUACAAUGCCCUUGUUGGGAAAGACUCUACAAGAGGAGUGGCCAAGAUGUCUUUGGAUCCUGCAGACCUCACACAUGAUACCACUGGACUCACAGAAGAACAGCUGAAGUCCCUGGAUGAUAUCUUCACUAAUGUAUACAAAGCCAAAUAUCCUAUUGUUGGCUACACAGCACGUCGUAUCCUAAAUGAUGAUGGCAGCCCUAACCGCAACUUCAAGCCUGAGGACCAGCCCCAUUUUGACAUUAAGGACGAGUUCUGACAGUUUGCUAGAGGCAAUCCCUUGGUGGAAAGAUGGAACUCAAAGGGAACUUGGUAGACUUACUUCUGCUUUAGCUGAGGAAUGAGAGAAGUAACUUAGUACAUCAGAAGUACUCAAAGUGUCUCAUUCUGGAAUAUCUGAAUCACUUUUUGAUAUGAAUAAAAUGAACUUUUACAUAGAACAUUUCUUCUUUUCUUUUCUUCCUUCUUUCCUUUUUUCUUUUCUCCCUCUCUCCCUCUCUCUCUCUCUUUAUUUUUCUUUCUCUCUUUCCUUCCUUCCUUCCUUCCUUCCUUCCUUCCUUCCUUCCUUCCUUCCUUCCUUCCUUCCUUCCUUCCUUCUUUCCUUCCUUCCUUCCUUCCUUUCUUCUUUCCUUCCUUCCUUCCUUCUUUCCUUUCCUCCUCCUCCUGCUUCUUCUUCUUCUUCCUUUUCUCCUCCUCUUCCUCCUCCUCCUCUUCCACCUCCUCCUCCUCCUGCUGCUGCUGCUGUUUCCUUUUCUUCUACUUCUCCUCUUCCUCCUCCUUCUUUUCCUCUUCCUCCUCCCCCUCCUGCUCUUCCUUCUCCUUCUCUUUUUCCUCUUCUUCUUCCUCCUCCUCUUCCUCCUCCCCCUCUUCUUGCUCCUUUUUCUCUUUUUUCAUUCUUCAUUCUUCUUUUUGUUUGCAUGUUUCACCCACAAGAUCAUAGGGUUUAGAGCUGAAAGAAGACUUAGAAAUCAACUCAUGGGAUAAGCUCAUUUUACACAGGAGGGAACUGAGAUCUAAAAAAAGUUAAAAUACCUUUCCCAAAGACAGACUUACCUACUAAAUGGAUAUAGUGCCAAACCUGAUGUUAAAAAGACAUGGAUUUAAAUCCUAGCUCAGAUACUUUUUAGCUGUGUGACUCUGAGUAAAGCACUUAACUUUUCAACUUCAAUUUCUCCAUCUAUUAAAUGGUAAUAAAAAUUGCACCUACCUUACACAAUAAUUUUGAGGAUCAAAUAAGAUUAAUAUAUGUAAAGUUAUUUUGUAAACCUUAAAGCACCAUGUAAAUUCCAGCUAAUAUUUUUCUAACAAACUGGAUUCCAGUAGGCAACUCAAUGACUCAACAGUCCAAAACCAAUAUACUUUAAAUCACCCUUCUUCUGAACACCUCUGUUACUAUCCAUCAACACUGCCUUCCUAAGACAUGAAUAGAUGAACAAGUGCUGUGGGCUGUCCAUCUAACUGGUCUGGACAAUAAGGCAUUCUUCAUCCACUUGGUAGUCAGAUCAAACUCUUUUGACUAGUUAUGGAUCAGUUUAGGAGGCUUUGCUGUUUUCUUGGGCUUCAUGUAAUUAGCACAAUGUCAUUUCCCAAUCAAUGGCCUCUGUAGGACUUCGCCAUUUGUAGGGACUCACUCCAAUUUGGCCUUUUCUCUCUAUCACUUAUAAUCCUAAUACAAGGGCUUCUUUGGCAGAGUCUCAUUCCUAAGUCUUAUCAUCAUCUCUUGCUCUCUGCUGACUUUAGUGGGAGAUAGAAUGAUUUCCUACCCCCACCUCCACCCUUUCCUGCUGGUCCAUAUGAUCCAUAUUCAGAUUGUCAGGCAGGGAGAGUCUGGCUCUCAUUCUCCAAUCUUUCAGUAAUAUCUCACCCAUUCUAAAAGAGCAAAACUUCCAGAGUAUGACUUUCUGGGCAUGACCAUAUUCUUAAACAAAUAGAAAAGGGAAAGAUUUCAAUAUUUCCUUUAUCUGUGAUAUCCCCACUGGAUAGGCUUGAGUUGGAGCUGUGCAGAUGGCAUCUGGCAUUCCCUUGAUAUCUGGUAUAACCUAUAAAUAUCACUGGGCAAAAGCCUCUGGGUUGUUUCAAUUCUUCCAGGGCAAUCAUCCAGGAAAAAAUGGAGGCAGGGAAUUGGGAAGGAGGGAUUCUAGUUUUAUAAAAUAAAAAGUAAAAAGAGCUCCUGCCCUGAAGGAGCCUAUAUUCUCUUGGGGGCAACAACUUGUACAUAAAUAGCUACGUCUAUAGAGUAGAUACCAAGUAACAUUAGAGGAGAAGGAAGCAAUUCUGCAAGGAAGGCUCAAUCUUUUUUGAAGGGCAGCAUGAUCUUUACUGGGAAAAUGGCCUGUUGCCAGGCCAUGAGGUGGUUUCCAAGCAUUUCCUCCUUAAUCUACUUCUGUCCUCCUUUUAAAAAUGUGAACUCCAGAGGCUCAGCUUCAUUAACUUCUAGGUUUUUUUUUUUUUUUAAUCAUCUCUAAUCACCAUGACCUAUGUUUUAUGCACUUUUCAUACAAAGCAUUUAUGUAAUGCUUUAUAUAGGCUGUAUUAUUUGAUCCUUAGAACAACUCUGUGAGGUAGGGGCUACUAUUAUCCCAUUUUACAGAUGAGGAAACAGACUGCUAAGGAUUAAAAAAAAAAAAAACUUCCAAAGAUCAUACAGUUAGUUAGUAUUUGAGGCAGAAUGUAAACUCAGAUAUUCUUGACUUCAGGCCAGGGCUCUAACCACUGUACCUAUUCUCAUUCUGGCCCCAUUCUUUUGUGUGAAAAAACUGUUCAGUACAGGAAGAGUCACCUUCAUGAUUGUUUCACAGUAUUUCAGUCUGUACUUUGUUAAAAUUGACUCAACAUGAGGUGUUAAACUGUUGCUGCUUUCUGCAAAGAGCUUUGUAUGAUUCAUGGGCUAAACAAUAGGGAAUAUGGGGCCUGAAUAGAGAAGAACAUCCAGUGGUGACGAAAAUCAACUCAGAAGGAUCCAAAAAAGGAGAGAAAAGAUAUUGCUUAAAGAAGCUUAUCGGGGGUGGCAAAAUCUUCCCAGUUCCCUAACGAAUUAUAUACAGACAACAGGUCUGUACAGGAACAGGAAAGACUUGGUGCUUAAUUCAGUUCCUUUGAAAUUCAGUUCAACAAAUAUUUAUUGAUAGAUUUGCUUUUAGUCUCCCAUUAUAAUGAUGAUGAUGAUGUCUCACAUUUCUACAGUAGAACACAAGAUCAUAGGAUCAUGGAAUUAGACUUGGGGGAAAAAAACUGGAAGCAAGCUGGUUCAGCCAUCACCUUUUAUAGAUAAGGGAGCUAAAGUUCAGAAAGAUAUAAUGAUGAUAAUAAUAGCAGCUAACAUUUAAUGCUUACAAUGUGCUAGGCACUCUGCUGGCACUAUUAUUUCUUUGUUCCUGUGUGUCCUUGGUUCUUGAAGAAAACUGUGACAUCAAGGAGGGGAUGCCAUGACAUGAAAGGGGAUUGGAUUUAAGUGAGAGAGGGCUGGGCAAAGUCACCUGCCUCACUUUUUCCUCGGGAGCCAUCUGGGUCCAGUGGCCGGAUAUAAAUGAGGAGGACUGGAGAUGGCCCUGGAUACUAUAGGAGACCUUGACCUUUUUAGGCUGAGGUCUUCAACAGGUCUCAGUUUGUCUGAGGCUGCACUCAUUCAGUGAUUAAGGCUAGUAGCUAUCGAUUGAGGCAAAAACAUUUCCUCUUUCACCUAGUCAAAAAAAAAAAAAUCUAAAUAAAUAAGUAAAUGAACGCAGGAGAGGUAGAUCCUCAGGGUUUCUGACCAAAACAGAAAAGAUUGCUAUUUACAUUCAAUUUGAGUCAAUCAGGACCCAAACAAUGACCCAAUGGGGCUUGGCCUACGACUUAUUGUUGGCCAAUGAGGAUCAGUUUGGUUUGGGUUGAAGGCAUGAUCCUUAAGAAAGAAAUCCUAGCUAUUAUUUCACUGGAUCCUCAUAACAACCUUGUUAAAUGCCAUUAUUAUUCUGAAUAUUUCAGGGGAUGAGGUAUCCUCAAGAUUAAUGAGGGGGAUGGGAAUACCUCAGGAUUAAUUGACUUGCUCAUGGUCACACAGAUAAUAAAUGUCUGAGGCUGGAUUCCUGACUUCAAACCCCCAUGCUUUUUUGACUGUAUCAUCUAAUUGCCCCCAAGGUCAUAUAAUCAGUCAAUCCUAAUCUGCAGAACCAGGAUUUCAACCAAGGUCUUUUAGUAACAAAUCUGAUGCUCCAGCAUUUUAAGAUUUAUAAAUUGCCUUCCCCAUAACAAUGCCAAGAAGGAGAUAGUGCAUAUAUCAUUGUUCUCAUUUUUCAGAUGAGGAAAUUGAGGCUAGAUAAAGUGACUUACCCGAAGUCACAAGACAAAUAUUGGAGUCAAUUAGUCAAACUAGAACAAUGCUGAUCAAUUUUUAAAUAUAGGCUGUCUCAGAAAAAAAUACUGCUGGACACCUUUUUAAAUUCAAUCUGAAUUAUUAACAUUUUCUCCAUCACUUUCUUAUGUUUAGAGACAAUCAACAAAACAAUUUGAUUCAAGACUUGAUUUGUAAUGUUUGCCUGUUUCUGAGAUGUAAAUGCUCACAAUGGAAAUUUAACAAUCACUUCUCUUGAGCAAGUAAAAGAUAGCUCCAGUCCAUUCUGAUUCAAGCCCAGGUCUCUUGUAUAAUGAAACAAAAGAGCACACUUCCUACUAUGCCAUACUGUAUGAUAGGAGACACUUGUGUGAUCCUGCCUCACUUAAAUCCAAUUCAUGUACAAGUCAAGACAACAUCUUCUGAUGUCAUUGGUUCUCUUAGAAAAGGAAGGACAAACAACAAUAAUUUGUGAUGAUAGAGACUUUGUUGACUCACCACACUAUUCUCUCUUUGUAUUAGGAACUUAACAAACAUCAAUAAAUACAGUGCCUCCUUGGAGGGUACCACAGAUAUAAAAGACUUCUUUCUUUCUUUGGUUCUUUGGUUUUCUUUCUUUUCUUUUCUUUUCCUUUCUUUUUUUCUUCUUUCUUUCUUUCUUUCUUUCUUUCUUUCUUUCUUUCUUUCUUUCUUUCUUUCUUUCUUUCUUUCUUUCCAUUCACCUAUCCAUCCACCAUCCAUCUAUUUAUCUAUCUAGGCUAUACAUGUACAUUCAUUUUUAACAUAUUUCCAUAUGAGUUAUGUUGGGAAAGAAAAAUCAGAACAAAAGGGAAACCCACAAGAAACAAACAAGAAACCUCCUCCCCAAAUGAAACAAAAAAGUGAAAAUAGUACCCUUUGCUUUGCAUUCCAUCUCUAUAGUUCUUUCUCUGCAUGCAGAUGCUAUUUUCCAUUCAAAGGCUAUCAGAAUUGUCUUAGAUCACUGUAUUGCUGAGAACAGCUAAGUCUAUCACAGUUGAUCAAAACACAAUCUUGCUAUUAUUCUGUACAAUGUUUUCUUCACUUGCUUCACUCAGUACAUAAUCAAAACUUUAUGAAAACAUCAUAAAGAAGAGGGAAAAAUGGACCUUGAAGAAAAGAAGGCUGAGGAAUGAGGAGAGGAUCAGAGAGUGAAAGGGUAGGUCAGAAAGAAUAAAACAGGAAUUUAAUCAUGAUCAAGAUAACGAUUCCCAGCACAUUAUUUUGUAAAUCUAAAAGCACCAGAUAAAUGUGUUUUUACUAUUUCUGUUUCAGGUAGCAUUAAGAAGUUCUUCCUCAAAUCCAAUAAGUCCCUCUUCUACUGGCUCUUUCAUUGAGAAAGCAAGGAUUAGUGGAGCCUUGAAGUUUCCCUGGAUUUUUGAGAGAAAGGGAGAUAACAAUUUCCCUUAAGUCCAUUCUGUCUGAGUAAUUGAAGUCCCAUGAAUCUCCCUUACUCAUAGAUCGGUAUUAUGCUUAGAUUUCAGCUUGCUCAUCUCUACACAUGCAUUUUAUCUUCUCAAAUGUAUUUUAUCCCAUGUUUCUUGACAAUGUGUUCUUUUCUGUCAGUCAAUGGUAGUGUAUCAUCAAUACAUCCCUCAUCUACUAUAUAAAAGGUAUUAGGCCUGAGGUAAUGACACCAGAAGUGUGGAAACAUAUUAAAAACCUCCUUUUUAGUUCAAUUAAAAUUAUUAAGAAGUAAACUCUUUUCAAUCUAAUCUAAAAACUUUUCAAUUUGUCUUCUAUGAUGUUAAGUCAAGAACAAAAAGUCUUUUCUAAGGAAAUACAUUAAGAAUGGAAACUAACCUUAGGUUAAAAACCCUUAAUUCCAAUUUAAGAAUCUCAUUUUUCCUACUCUUAGAAGUGUUUAGGCUAUUGAUUCACUAAGGGCAGUUUCUUUUCUUAUCCCCUGAAGUGAUGAUGUGGAAGUAUUGUAUGACCCAUCCUCCAUCCAAAAAAAUCAUAUUAAUCAUAGGAGGAAUCUUUUUUCAGUCUAUAGAGAGAGUGAUCAAGGAAGGAAUCCAGUAAAGAUCAUUAUUUUGGAAUGUUAGCUCCAAACUUCAUUUCAAAAUAUGGAUAAGGAGAAGGAGCUAAGUUAUUAUUUAUCAAGCAUCAAUUAAUCAAUUUACAGUUAUCUCAUUUGAUCCUUACAACAACUCUGGGAGAGAGGUGCUGUCAUGAUCUCCAUUUUGCAGUUGAGGCAAUUGAUCUGGAGAGAGGUUAUUGAUUUAUCCAGGGUUACAUAUCUAGGAAGUGUCUGAGGGUAUAUUUGAACUCAAGUUUUCUUGAUCCAGAUCCAGUGCUCUAACCAUGAAGUCUCCUGGGUUCCUCAUAGCAUGAUCUUUUGUCUUAUUUAAGAUUCCUUUAAAUGUUAUCCCAUUUGUUGGAGUUAUUGGAGGGCAUGUGAGACAUGACCAAAACAUGGAAUAUAGUAUUUUUUUUUAAUUUUUAAUUUUUUUUAUUAUAAUAACUUUUUAUUGACAGAAUCCAUGCUAGGGUAAUUUUUUUACAACAUUAUCCCUUGCACUCACUUCUGUUCCGAUUUUUCCCUCCCAUCCUCCACCCCCUCCCCUAGAUGGCAAGCAGCGCUAUAUAUGUUGAAUAUGUCCUGGUAUAUCCUAGAUACAAUGUAUGUGUGCAGAUCCAAACAGUUUUCUUGUUGCACAGGGAGAAUUGGAUUCAGAAGGUAAAAAUAAUCCGGGAAGAAAAACAAAAAUGCAAACAGUUUACAUUCAUUUCCCAGUGUUUUUUCUUUGGGUGUAGCUGCUUCUGUCCAUCAUUGAUCAAUUGAAACUGAGUUAGGUCUCUUUGUCAAAGAAAUCCACUUCCAUCAGAUUAUAUCUUCAUACAGUAUUGUUGUUGACGUAUAUAAUAAUCUCUUGGUUCUGCUCAUUUCACUUAGCAUCAGUUCAUGUAAUUCUCUCCAAGCCUUUCUGAAAUCAUCCUGAUGGUCAUUUCUUUUCUUUUUUUUUUUUUUUUUAUUGGUAAACAAGAUUAAACCUUUAAUUUUUUAUUGUUAUUUUAGUAGCAUUUUUCUAGUCACCUCUGAGGUCUGGAUGUUUUAUUUUUUUUUUUAAAUUUAAUAGCCUUUUAUUUACAGGAUAUAUACAUGGGUAACUUUACAGCAUUAACAAUCGCCAAACCUCUUGUUCCAAUUUUUCACCUCUUACCCCCCCCACCUCCUCCCCUAGAUGGCAGGAUGACCAGUAGAUGUUAAAUAUAUUAAGAUAUAACUUAGAUACACAAUAAGUAUACAUGACCAAAACAUUAUUUUGCUGUACAAAAAGAAUCAGACUCUGAAUUAUUGUACAAUUAGCUUGUGAAGGAAAUCAAAAAUGCAUGUGUGCAUAAAUAUAGGGAUUGGGAAUUUAAUGUAAUGGUUUUUAGUCAUCUCCCAGAGUUAUUUUUCUGGGCAUCUGCUGGUCAUUUCUUACAGAACAAUAAUAUUCCAUAACAUUCAUAUACCACAAUUUACCCAACCAUUCUCCAAUUGAUGGGCAUCCAUUCAUUUUCCAGCUUCUGGCCACUACAAACAGGGCUGCCACAAACGUUUUGGCACCUACAGGUCCCUUUCCCUUCUUUAGUAUCUCCUUGGGGUAUAAGCCCAGUAGAAACACUGCUGGAUCAAAGGGUAUGCACAGUUUGAUAACUUUUGGGGCAUAGUUCCAGAUUGCUCUCCAGAAUGGUUGGAUUUGUUCACAGCUCCACCAACAAUGUAUCAGUGUCCCAGUUUUCCCGCAUCCCCUCCAACAAUCAUCAUUAUUUUUUCCUGUCAUCUUAGCCAAUCUGACUGGUGUGUAGUGGUAUCUCAGAGUUGUCUUAAUUUGCAUUUCUCUGAUUAAUAAUGAUUUGGAACACUCUUUCAUAUGAGUGGUAAUGAUUUCAAUUUCAUCAUCUGAAAAUUGUCUGUUCAUAUCCUUUGACCAUUUAUCAAUUGGAGAAUGGCUUGGUUUCUUAUAAAUUAGAGUCAGCUCUCUAUAUUUUGGAAAUGAGGCCUUUAUCAGAACCUUUAACUGUGAAGAUGUUUUCCCAGUUUGUUGCUUCCCUUCUAAUCUUGUUUAAUUAGUUUUGUUUGUACAGAAGCUUUUUAAUUUGAUGUAAUCAAAAUUUUCUAUUUUGUGAUCAAUUAUGCUUUCUAGUUCGUCUUUAGUCACAAAUUUCUUCCUCCUCCACAAGUCUGAGAGAUAAACUAUCCUAUGUUCCUCCAAUUUGUUUAUAAUCUCGCUCUUUAUGUCUAAAUCAUGGACCCAUUUUGAUCUUAUCUUGGUAUACGGUGUUAAGUGUGGGUCCAUGCCUAAUUUCUGCCAUACUAAUUUCCAGUUAUCCCAGCAGUUUUUGUCAAAUAAUGAAUUCUUAUCCCCAAAGUUAGGAUCUUUGGAUUUGUCAAACACUAAAUUGCUAUAGUUGACUAUUCUGUCUUGUGAACCUAACCUGUUCCACUGAUCAACUAAUCUAUUUCUUAGCCAAUACCAAAUGGUUUUGGUGACUGCUGCUUUAUAAUAUAGUUUUAGAUCAGGUACAGCUAGGCCACCUUCAUUUGAUUUUUUUUUCAUUAAUUCUUUUGAGAUUCUUGACCUUUUAUUAUUCCAUAUGAAUUUUGUUGUUAUUUUUUCUAGAUCAUUAAAAUAUUUUCUUGGAAGUCUGAUUGGUAUAGCACUAAAUAAAUAGAUUAGUUUAGGGAGUAUUGUCAUCUUUAUUAUAUUCGCUGGACCUAUCCAGGAGCACUUAAUAUUUUUCCAAUUGUUUGUCUGACUUUAUUUGUGUGGAAAGUUUUUUGUAAUUUUGCUCAUAUAAUUCCUGACUUUCCUUUGGUAGAUAGAUUCCCAAAUAUUUUAUGCUGUCGACAGUUAUUCUGAAUGGAAUUUCUCUUUGUAUCUCUUGCUGUUGGAUUUUGUUGGUGAUGUAUAAAAAUGCUGAGGAUUUAUGGGGAUUUAUUUUAUAACCUGCAACUUUGCUAAAGUUAUGGAUUAUUUCUAAUAGCUUUUUUGUAGAAUCUCUAGGGUUCUCUAAGUGUACCAUCAUGGAAUAUAGUAUUAAUAUAUUUUUUCCUUCACACAAAUAUAAACUUCCAUCCCUGUAAUCAAGGAGCUCACGUUCUUAUUGACGAAACAAGACAGACAUACACAAAAGAUCAAAGAUCACAGAAGGCAGUUUUUUUUAGUGGAAAGAACAUUGGAUUUUGAGUUAGGAGACUUAGGUCCCUGCUCUGUCAUUUAUCCCCAGUGUGAUCCUGGAUCCCACUGUCUAGGCUUCAAUUUACUCAUUUUAAUGUACUGGUCAUCUGCAACAUGUCUCAUCUCUUUUGGAAGCUAAAGAGAACACCAGAAGUUCCUCUAGUGAUAAAAAUAUUGGUGAAAUACCAAGGAAUGGAGGAACGUGUGUGUGUGUGUGUGUGUGUGUGUGUGUAAAGAUUCCAAGUUUUUCUUUUUGGACCUUGAGGACCUUUUUGUCUGAAAGAUUUAAUUUGUGGAAAGCAGGAGAGAUAUAGGAGCCCGGUCAGGUCUCGAGAGAUGUCACCCUGGCCAUAGGGAAUGAGCAGCCUUGGUGUUUGGAUUGAUGGUGUGGAUAUGACUGCCUCCCCACAACCUGCUGGAGCUGGCAUUUCAGAAUGUUUUUUUUUUAUUAUGAGGAAAAUGAAACUUCACAAAAUGAAACAAGAAAGCAGGAACAUCAAGCAUGACCACCAUUAGGAAAAACCCACUGUCAAGCCUUGCCAAGUAGGGAAAGGGACCUGUAGUAACGGAUCUCCCAGGUAAGGCAGAGAGUAGGAACAGAGGAGUAUGAUGAGAAUUUUAGGGUGUUUAAUUCUGUUUGGAUUUUUGAGAGGACUUCCAAGGGAGGUCAUAUGGUCUAAUCCUCUGUCCCUGGUCAGACAUAUAUUCAAUCUCUCCAAUAAGGAUAAUUAUUCUCUAGGAAUUUCUCCAUGGAUCAAGAUUCUAUAAACUUUGGCCAAAUAUUUCAGUAU